Molecule: ribosomal RNA, 253 nt
Filed under: uncultured bacterium
Lineage: Bacteria
Description: partial 16S ribosomal RNA
Rfam family: Bacterial small subunit ribosomal RNA
Source: RNAcentral
UACGUAGGUGGCAAGCGUUGUCCGGAAUUAUUGGGCGUAAAGCGCGCGCAGGCGGUCCUUUAAGUCUGAUGUGAAAGCCCACGGCUCAACCGUGGAGGCUCAUUGGAAACUGGAGGACUUGAGUACAGAAGAGGAAAGCGGAAUUCCACGUGUAGCGGUGAAAUGCGUAGAGAUGUGGAGGAACACCAGUGGCGAAGGCGGCUUUCUGGUCUGUAACUGACGCUGAGGCGCGAAAGCGUGGGGAGCAAACAGG